Coregonus clupeaformis (lake whitefish) is the source of this 3273-nucleotide long non-coding RNA. RefSeq lists it as uncharacterized. The transcript is spliced from 3 exons. The record is from RefSeq and is a predicted model, not a curated record. NCBI's taxonomy places the organism in Eukaryota, Metazoa, Chordata, Actinopteri, Salmoniformes, Salmonidae.
AUUACACCAAAUAUUUUAUAUCACAAUCUAUGAAUUAAUUCUAUAUAUUCUCCAAAAAUAAAAGUACACCUUCAAUUUGAAAAACGUUGAAAAUCAAAAACUCCCGCAUCGUGCUGAAAGUAGCUAGCGUAUAACCACAGCUAUCUUUGGUAUAACCCUCCGGGAGGCGAUGUUCUGGAAAACAAGAAAAAAAACGUAUUAUAAAGAAAAAAAUGAAGAUCAAAGCAUUGAGUACAUGCUUUUUUCAGUGAUAAUAUGCCAGCAACGUAUAUUUUGCCAAUACUACAGCCUUUAUUAGUCAUUUUGGAAAUUAGUGUGCCCGGGAGAUCCCAGCGCUACAAAAACAUGUUUUGAACUCUGGGUAGUGUAAUUUGGAAGAUUUGUUGUUGUGAUGGUAAGGGUGCUAUAAACUAUGAUAACAAUAGCAUUAUUACAGUUUUUGCAUGGGAAAGAAAACUAAAAUGCUAGAUUUCCCUUGUACCAAAAGACAGACACUAUUAUUUUCCUGAAAAUGAUCCAUAAUGAACGCCUACAUACAGACUGACGCAUGCGUAGUUGUAAAUGCACAUGAUUUCUGAACGUUUUAAUGGCAAUAGCAGAAAAUACAACUCGAGUCUGUAGUUCCAUUUAGUAGUAUAAACUAAGCGAAAAGCAGUGGUGGCUUUGGAAACAUUCAGAAAAGAAGAGACUCUUGCAAUGCAAAACAAACUGAUUGGGUAUGUAACUGUGCAUGAAUUGAAGAAAAUCAACCCUUGACGCUUGUAAACCAGGGUCGGUACAGUAUGAAUACAUUGACAUGUAAAUGGUGUGCAUUAUGUCUUUCCUAGGCAGUCUUGCAGACUCUUCUAUUCAGACGAACCUGUGAAGAUAGUCCAGAGGACAGUAUUUGUAUGACGAGAAUGGCAAGUAGUAUUUGGACUGUAUCAGCAACGUUCAGCACGGUAAGAGACAAAUCUAUCGGUGACGUUCUUUUAAUGCAUCUUAUUGGCAUAUUUGAUAAGUAUUCUGUUGUAUUCGGUGUAUUUUGUGACAGCACAGCAGCAAAGGACACAGUCCAAAGCCCUUUGAACAUUACAGGACAACAUAAUCAACACAACUGUGCCUCCUAGUGUUUGGCGGAAACCCAGUGUCAUCGGACGUGAUUGAGAAGGACCUGAGGGGGAACUCCACACGAGUAGGAGGGCACCUAUUGGACCUGCUGACGCAGCUACAGACUAAACAUCCAAUCAUUGGAGAUGUCCGGUAGGGGCACUAUGGCCUGAAUUAUGUGAAGGUAAUGGCCGUGUUCCUCUGACAUGCCAGAUCGUACAACACCUGGAUAGGUAUUUCACAUAUCAGCUGACCAUGUUAUAGCAAUCUGGUGUCCGAAGGCAGUCAAAUACUUGGCAUGCAACCAUUAGUUGAUGCAUGCAACAUCUGAGCAGGGGAACGCACCCAAGGUCUUUAUAGUAACCAUUAACUACCAACAUAUUAUUAUGCAUUCUGAAAUACUGGCUUUGUGUUUAUUCUUGGGGCCGCUUGUGGGCUUGAGCUGGUCACAGUGCAGAGGGGCUGUUGUGGGCUUUUCCAAAUAAAUCUUAGCAUUACCUUAAAAAAAUUGGAAUAUCCUUUGGUCUUGUCUCCUAUUCCAGACUGAAAGAGGAGUACGUCGGUGUCAGUUUAGAAAGCCCCUGGGAGAAGUGUCAAGUUUAAACCUCCCAUGUGCUUCAGUAUGGAGGACGCAGAGCUGGUGGCAGAUGGGAUACACCCUAUUCUCACAGACAUGGAGAGCAGUCAAGAACUGGACAAUGGAGACAUCUAAGGUUUGUACAAACCUGUAGAAAGAUUUAAUUGCAUCAGACAGUAAGAAUUGGUCACAGUAAGAAGGUAGCGGUGUGGAUAGUGUCAAGUACUCUAGUAGAUUAACAGUUAAAGUGCAUUUCAGACAUUUGGAUUUCAUAAAUGUCCUUGCUAUCCAGCAUCCUUGGGACGUCCCAAGGAUCCCAGGAAAACACUAACCAUUUCAUAAACAGAGCACAAGAACUGGAGCCAUUGUGGAGGAAGACAAGAGAAGGACUGCAGACAUUAAAAAGGUAGCCCAUCGCAUGAUCCAUACCACAAUUAAGGCUAAAAAGCCAAAUCAUUAAGAUUACGCUUCUAGAUCUAACACAUGAAUGUUUGUGACAGUUCAUGAUGUGGAAUUAGUGACCGCUUUUGGUCCUGCAUGAGGGACAGAAAAGGCAGUGACAUGCAAUAUAUUUGUUCUACUAGAAUACCAUGUACUUUCGCUAUGAUGUGAUAAUGACAUGAAAACAUUUAAAAUACCUUGACGCUCACAUUUAUACUUCCUGUGAAAACAGAUCCAACCCCCCCACCACAUGGUAACUACGGGAUAAAGAAGUGCUAAGAACUAAAUUAAGUGCUACUGAUACAGUAGGAAAGAGAACAUCGUGGACAUCAACUUGGAAUGGACACUGGCCCAGGUAGACUGAAGAGAAGUCACAUCCAGCUGAUCUUGAUAAUUGCACAUUGCAUGGCAACAGUGACUUUAUACACAAGUAUCAAAGGACUAUUAAUGACAAGCAAAAAAUUAUGUGGUAGGAGUGCACUUACCAGAGGACUACAGUUAGCACCUUAUCCACCUAUAACAUACCAAAUACUGUAGUUACACUUCAGAUCCAUAGCUGGGUAAGAUCAGCUAGCUCGGAAAGUAAAAUCGACAUGUACGUAGCACGGCUUUCACCCCCAUUGACUGAUUCCCUCUGCCUGCGAAGUAUCUGCCACCGCAUCCCAAAGAGGCAUCCGUACGAAGCGAUUUUAACCUUACCCAGGACAAGCAAGCCAUUUAACAGUACAAAGCAGUUAACAGUAACCACAACAGCAUUAGUUUUAUAAAUAAUAACAAAAGGAUCCACGUGUAAUAUAAACCAAAAGUUUAUUUCUACCAAUUUGCCCAAGACACUAGAGGAAUGAGUUUCCAGUGAGAGAGGGAAGACCCUCUUACAUUAACAGGCUUGCGCUCGGUUGGAUUGUAUGGUUUGUAACACUAGUAAAGCCACUUUUAAAAUGCAGACAAGAUGGGGGGGUGGGGGGGGGAAUCUCCGUAAAAGCCAAAAAAACAAGUGCUGGUUGUCAUCGUCUACUAGCCAACUGCAAACAUUCACUAGACAAGCUUACAAUGAAACCUUUGAUUAGUUUAAUCCCUUCUCGCCUCACCCCACAUCUGAAGCCAUGCAACUCGCAUCAAACACUCAGCACGAGGAAAAAAAUAAAAAAACACUACAAUUCUAGAAA